UACGAAGGGGGCUAGCGUUGCUCGGAAUCACUGGGCGUAAAGCGCACGUAGGCGGCUUCUUAAGUCAGGGGUGAAAUCCUGGAGCUCAACUCCAGAACUGCCUUUGAUACUGAGAAGCUUGAGUCCGGGAGAGGUGAGUGGAACUGCGAGUGUAGAGGUGAAAUUCGUAGAUAUUGGGAGGAACACCAGUGGCGAAGGCGGCUACCUGGACCGGUUCUGACGCUGAGGCGCGAAAGCGUGGGUAGCAAACAGG
Molecule: ribosomal RNA, 253 nt
Filed under: uncultured bacterium
Lineage: Bacteria
Description: partial 16S ribosomal RNA
Rfam family: Bacterial small subunit ribosomal RNA
Source: RNAcentral